GGGGGUGUUCCGGAUUCGACCGGUACGGCAAGAAAUUGACUGCAUGCCGAGGAUGACCGUUGGCCUCGUUAAUCACCGGUUAAAACCUAACUGCGAACGAAGAGUUUGCUCUGGCGGCUUAGUCCCGCCACGUCGCUUUGCCCGACCGGGUGCUAAGGCAAAAGCGGCGUCAGACAGCGCCCUGGCGAAAGUUCCCUCCGUUCGGGAUUUUCGCGAGAACCAAGAACGGAUAGUCCGAGCCUGUGCCUGUCCGACGGCGUACGGCAAGGACGAUAAGCAAUAAAGACGGAACAAGCAUGUAGACGUCUCUGGCUCUCCUUAUCGGGACGCGGGUUCAACUCCCGCCACCUCCACCA
RNAcentral lists this transfer-messenger RNA (356 nucleotides) under Victivallaceae. RNAcentral's name for it is "UBA1784 sp016292515 Standard tmRNA". It matches the Rfam family "transfer-messenger RNA". From Rfam's summary of the family: Bacterial tmRNA, also known as 10Sa RNA or SsrA, is named for its dual tRNA and mRNA-like properties. Its role is to liberate the mRNA from a stalled ribosome. The record is from RNAcentral. RNAcentral also lists the same sequence under 1 other name. Lineage: Bacteria; Pseudomonadati; Lentisphaerota; Lentisphaeria; Victivallales.